This 77-nucleotide transfer RNA is filed under the name Escherichia coli. RNAcentral's name for it is "tRNA-Arg". It matches the Rfam family "tRNA". Rfam says of the family: Transfer RNA (tRNA) molecules are approximately 80 nucleotides in length. Their secondary structure includes four short double-helical elements and three loops (D, anti-codon, and T loops). Lineage: Bacteria; Pseudomonadati; Pseudomonadota; Gammaproteobacteria; Enterobacterales; Enterobacteriaceae. RNAcentral also lists the same sequence under 2 other names. The record is from RNAcentral.
GCAUCCGUAGCUCAGCGGGAUAGAGUACUCGGCUACGAACCGAGCGGUCGGAGGUUCGAAUCCUCCCGGAUGCACCA